UUGGCUGUUUCCAAAGGAGGAAAAUUACCACAGCAAGUCUUGGGCUGCCUUUACCCCUACACACUUUGGAACUCUAAGCCUUGAUGUGGUCACUGAAUGCAGGACCAGCAGCAGCAGUGACUGUUCUGCAGAAAAGGUGCUGGUAUGUGCUGGGAAGACAAAUGGGGAGAUUUUUGUCAGAAGAAAUGGAGUUGAAUCUUCACUUAUCUCCAGGCCUCAAAUUUCUCCAUAUGUCCCAAAAUAUUUGCUUUCAAGAUUUCCCAGGCUGGACAGGGAAGACAGAGUCUGCUGCUGUCCAGUGCAUAAGUGCUAGAACUGACUGCAGGACAACACAGACAUCACUGUUAAUCCAUCAGCUGCUGGUUGUUCAUAGCAUUUCUUUAUCCAUGGCCUAUGGAAAUCAAUACAUCUGGUUUUAUUUGGACAACAGUGAAGGGUUUGGAUCCUUCCUGCAUUGCAAGAGUAACUUCAGGCUUGGUUUAAUGCCCUGA
This 491-nucleotide long non-coding RNA is filed under the name Ficedula albicollis (Collared flycatcher). RNAcentral describes it as "lncRNA (ENSFALG00000028899.1)". Lineage: Eukaryota; Metazoa; Chordata; Aves; Passeriformes; Muscicapidae. The record is from RNAcentral.